This 376-nucleotide ribosomal RNA is filed under the name uncultured organism. RNAcentral's name for it is "bacterial SSU rRNA". It matches the Rfam family "Bacterial small subunit ribosomal RNA", at positions 526 to 896 of the family's 1533-position model. The record is from RNAcentral.
CGGGGGGAGCAAGCGUUGUUCGGAUUUACUGGGCGUAAAGGGCGCGUAGGCGGUCAGCACAAGUCAGUUGUGAAAUCUCCGAGCUUAACUCGGAAAGGUCAACUGAUACUGUGCGACUAGAGUGCAGAAGGGGCAACUGGAAUUCUCGGUGUAGCGGUGAAAUGCGUAGAUAUCGAGAGGAACACCUGCGGCGAAGGCGGGUUGCUGGGCUGACACUGACGCUGAGGCGCGAAAGCUAGGGGAGCGAACGGGAUUAGAUACCCCGGUAGUCCUAGCCUUAAACGAUGAAUGCUUGGUGUCUGGGGUUAUAUAGUCCCCCGGGUGCCGUCGCUAACGCUUUAAGCAUUCCGCCUGGGGAGUACGGUCGGCAAGACUG